CUCGUGACGUUCGACGUCACGUCCACGUGUCAUAUAACUAGGAAGAAACCCGUAAACAUUGAGCCAGUAAGGAGGCAGAAAAUCUUUUGGCUUAGCCUAAAAUGCUUACAUUUAGCUUGACCGUUGUUCGACAUGGGGAGACACAAUUCAACAAGGAGAAGUUGCUGCAAGGUCAGGGGGUGGACACUUCUCUGUCGGAGCCGGGGCUCCAGCAGGCAGAGGCUGCAGGACUGUACCUCAGAGAGCUCAGUUUCUCCAAUGUGUUUGUCAGUAACCUGCAGCGCGCCAGACAGAAAUCAUUGAGGAACGAUGUUCACUCCUCGGGCGUUGAAAUGGUCUUUGACCCGUUACUCAGAGAGAGGAGUUUUGGGAUCGCAGAAGGACGGCCCAAGGAGGAUCUGAAGAACAUGGCUAACAGAGCCGGCCAGUCGUGUCGAGACUAUACUCCUCCUGGAGGGGAAACCUUGGAACAGGUAAGGCUGCGAUGCAAGAAGUUUCUAAAGUCCCUUUACCAGCGCAUGGUUGACGACCACGGCUGCUCAGGACAGAGUUCUACUGCUGUAGGGAGAGGGGCCGGUGCAGCCGAGUCUGGUACAGAUGGGCCCCUACCUGGUCUGCCUGACAACGGGAUGGAGGGUGUCCCUCUCCAUGCCCUGGUGGUGAGCCACGGGGCCUACAUCUGUGUGGCUGUGAGACAUUUUGUGGAGGACCUGCAGUGCUCUCUGCCCCAGGGCCUGAAGAUGUCCAAGGUGUUGUCAGCCUGCCCCAACACAGGCAUCAGCCGCUUUGUCCUCAUCGUUUCUGGAGCAACGAACCGCCCUUGCUGUCUCUGCCUGGCCUGUUCCCCUCUUUCCACUGGGAUUCUCUGCCUCUAACCCUAUUACAGGGGCUGAGUCACUGGCUUGCUGGGGCUCUCUCAUGCCGUCCCUGGAGGGGGUGCGUCACCUGAGUGGGUUGAUUCACUGUUGUGGUCAUCCUGUCUGGGUUGGCGCCCCCCCCUUGGGUUGUGCCGUGGCGGAGAUCUUUGUGGGCUAUACUCAGCCUUGUCUCAGGAUGGUAAGUUGGUGGUUGAAGAUAUCCCUCUAGUGGUGUGGGGGCUGUGCUUUGGCAAAGUGGGUGGGGUUAUAUCCUUCCUGUUUGGCCCUGUCCGGGGGUGUCCUCGGAUGGGGCCACAGUGUCUCCUGACCCCUCCUGUCUCAGCCUCCAGUAUUUAUGCUGCAGUAGUUUAUGUGUCGGGGGGCUGGGGUCAGUUUGUUAUAUCUGGAGUACUUCUCCUGUCCUAUUCGGUGUCCUGUGUGAAUCUAAGUGUGCGUUCUCUAAUUCUCUCCUUCUCUCUUUCUUUCUCUCUCUCGGAGGACCUGAGCCCUAGGACCAUGCCCCAGGACUACCUGACAUGAUGACUCCUUGCUGUCCCCAGUCCACCUGGCCAUGCUGCUGUUCCAGUUUCAACUGACCUGAGCCCUAGGACCAUGCCCCAGGACUACCUGACAUGAUGACUCCUUGCUGUCCCCAGUCCACCUGGCCAUGCUGCUGCUCCAGUUUCAACUUCCACCUGACUGUGCUGCUGCUCCAGUUUCAACUGUUCUGCCUUAUUAUUGUUCGACCAUGCUGGUCAUUUAUGAACAUUUGAACAUCUUGGCCAUGUUCUGUUAUAAUCUCCACCCGGCACAGCCAGAAGAGGACUGGCCACCCCACAUAGCCUGGUUCCUCUCUAGGUUUCUUCCUAGAGUCUGGCCUGGCACUCUCUGCUGUCCGCUGUGUUUUCACCAACAGGAAGGACCACCUGACCUCCCGUAACAUAUGUUACAUCACACAUUAAAGAUGGACAAGGCAACACAAAAGGUUUAGUCACUACUCUGCUCUGUUUAAAUGUUAUUUACUGUAGCUAACAAACCACUGAAAGCAAAGAAUAUCUGGCACAGGGACCUGUCUAAUAUUGAUGAUAUGAGUUGGGGGGAGAUUUUACUAGGGUCGUUGAGGAACCCUAAUCACCAAUUGAUUCAUUUUUUAAAUUUUAUACACGGUAAAUAAAUUAAGCAUUUUUGCACAGUUUAUAUCUUCGCCUGUUUUAAAGCUUGUUAUGUAACCAUGGUGACCUAGGCUCUUUUAUGCAUUGGAAGUGCCCCAAAGUGGAUAGAUUUUGAAGACCGGUAUUUUAUCUACCUUAUCUGAUGUUCUUGGUGUCACUACCAGUCCUUAAGGAUGACUCCUCUCACACACACUGUCACUCCAACAAUGACAUGUAAUGCUAACAGGUUUAACCUCUUGAAACUAGGGGGCACUAUUUUUAUGUUUGGAAAAAUAACGUUCCCAAAGUAAACGGCCUAUUUCUCAGGACCAGAUGCUAGAA
Oncorhynchus kisutch (coho salmon) is the source of this 2350-nucleotide RNA transcript. It is a transcript of the gene named fructose-2,6-bisphosphatase TIGAR B-like, with no coding region annotated. The record is from RefSeq and is a predicted model, not a curated record. The transcript has 7 exons. Lineage: Eukaryota; Metazoa; Chordata; Actinopteri; Salmoniformes; Salmonidae.